Molecule: ribosomal RNA, 454 nt
Filed under: uncultured Hydrogenophaga sp.
Lineage: Bacteria; Pseudomonadati; Pseudomonadota; Betaproteobacteria; Burkholderiales; Comamonadaceae
Description: bacterial SSU rRNA
Rfam family: Bacterial small subunit ribosomal RNA
Source: RNAcentral
GCACAAGCGGUGGAUGAUGUGGUUUAAUUCGAUGCAACGCGAAAACCUUACCCACCUUUGACAUGUACGGAAGUUGCCAGAGAUGGCUUCGUGCUCGAAAGAGAGCCGUAACACAGGUGCUGCAUGGCUGUCGUCAGCUCGUGUCGUGAGAUGUUGGGUUAAGUCCCGCAACGAGCGCAACCCUUGUCAUUAGUUGCUACGAAAGGGCACUCUAAUGAGACUGCCGGUGACAAACCGGAGGAAGGUGGGGAUGACGUCAAGUCCUCAUGGCCCUUAUAGGUGGGGCUACACACGUCAUACAAUGGCUGGUACAAAGGGUUGCCAACCCGCGAGGGGGAGCCAAUCCCAUAAAGCCAGUCGUAGUCCGGAUCGCAGUCUGCAACUCGACUGCGUGAAGUCGGAAUCGCUAGUAAUCGUGAAUCAGAAUGUCACGGUGAAUACGUUCCCGGGCCUU